UGGGGAAUAUUGCACAAUGGGCGAAAGCCUGAUGCAGCAACGCCGCGUGAGUGAUGAAGGCCUUCGGGUUGUAAAGCUCUGUCUUUUGGGACGAUAAUGACGGUACCAAAGGAGGAAGCCACGGCUAACUACGUGCCAGCAGCCGCGGUAAUACGUAGGUGGCAAGCGUUGUCCGGAUUUACUGGGCGUAAAGGAUGCGUAGGCGGAUUUUUAAGUGAGAUGUGAAAACCCUAAGCUUAACUUGGGGACUGCAUUUCAUACUGGAAAUCUAGAGUGCGGGAGAGGAGAAUGGAAUUCCUAGUGUAGCGGUGAAAUGCGUAGAGAUUAGGAAGAACACCAGUGGCGAAGGCGAUUCUCUGGACCGUAACUGACGCUGAGGCAUGAAAGCGUGGGUAGCAAACAGGAUUAGAUACCCUGGUAGUCCACGCCGUAAACGAUGAGUACUAGGUGUAGGAGGUAUCGACCCCUUCUGUGCCGCAGUUAACACAAUAAGUACUCCGCCUGGGAAGUACGAUCGCAAGAUUAAAACUCAAAGGAAUUGACGGGGGUCAUAGCGUUUCCUG
Molecule: ribosomal RNA, 563 nt
Filed under: uncultured bacterium
Lineage: Bacteria
Description: partial 16S ribosomal RNA
Rfam family: Bacterial small subunit ribosomal RNA
Source: RNAcentral